CCUCGUAUGAUUCAAGAUAUGUGCAGAAUUUCACACGCGUUGUGCAACUGAAGUCCAAGUUUAUGCCAGAACUUGACAUCAUCUGCUCCAGGCUGUCUGCUGAGUGCCAUAGGAAGGGAGGAGAAACAGGACAUAAGAUUAAGGAGAUCAUGGCUGCCAUUGAUUGGAAUCCUAUCAUUGGCUCGUUGAGAGUUUGCCACCUGAAAGCACUUGUUGUGUACUUGAAGACCCAGAUAAACUCAUAAAGGAAUACCUGAGCUGCCAGAUGGUGUCAUCACUGAAAGCAGUCAUAAACAACAUGGCAGAUUCAUCCAUUUCCUCCAGCCAAAGCGACUCACCACGCACUACCAGUGACACUGGCAGUGAAGACAUGGAAUUAUGACUG
Long non-coding RNA from Sardina pilchardus (European sardine), 385 nucleotides. RefSeq lists it as uncharacterized. The record is from RefSeq and is a predicted model, not a curated record. Lineage: Eukaryota; Metazoa; Chordata; Actinopteri; Clupeiformes; Clupeidae. The transcript is spliced from 3 exons.